AGAACGAAUGCUGGCGGCAUGCCUAAUACAUGCAAGUCGAACGAACUCUUCGGAGUUAGUGGCGCACGGGUGCGUAACGCGUGGGAAUCUGCCCCUUGGUUCGGAAUAACAGUUGGAAACGACUGCUAAUACCGGAAUGAUGACGAAAGUCCAAAGAUUUAUCGCCAAGGGAUGAGCCCGCGUAGGAUUAGCUAGUUGGUGAGGUAAAGGCUCACCAAGGCAACGAUCCUUAGCUGGUCUGAGAGGAUGAUCAGCCACACGUGGACUGAGACACGGCCCAGACUCCGUACGGGAGGCAGGACAGUAGGAAGUAUUAGGACGAAGUGGACGAAACGCCUAGAUCCGAGACAAUGGCCGCGUGGAGUGAGUGAAGGUCCGUUAGGGUUAGUAAA
RNAcentral lists this ribosomal RNA (392 nucleotides) under uncultured soil bacterium. RNAcentral's name for it is "bacterial SSU rRNA". It matches the Rfam family "Bacterial small subunit ribosomal RNA", at positions 26 to 429 of the family's 1533-position model. The record is from RNAcentral.